GUAAACGAAAAAACCGCCUGGGGAGGCGGUUUGUUCGAAGGUUAAGUCAGUUGGGGAACUGCUUAACCCGGUAACAGGGUUCACGAGACCGCCAUUACCAAAACUGUUCUUUCAGUGUAGCCGCAGUCAGGCCUCUACUUCAAGACCUCUUAAUCUAUCUUCUCGUGCACUCCUGUUACUAAUGGCUGCUGCCAGUGGCGUUUUGUCGUGUCUUUCCGGGUUGGACUCAAGUUGAUAGUUACCGGACAAGGCGCAGCGGUCGGACUGAACGGGGGGUUCGUGCAUACAGUCCAGCUUGGAGCGAACUGCCUUCACGGAACUGAGUGUCAGGCGUGGAAUGAGAAACCGCGGCCAUAACAGCGGAAUGACACCGGUAAACCGAAAGGCAGGAACAGGAGAGCGCACGAGGGAGCUACCAGGGGGAAACGCCUGGGAUCUUUAUAGUCCUGUCGGGUUUCGCCACCACUGAUUUGAGCGUCAGAUUUUGCGAUGCUUGUCAGGGGGGCGGAGCCUAUGGAAAAACGGCUUCGCCGUGGCCUUAUCUCUUCUUUGCUAA
Molecule: unclassified non-coding RNA, 556 nt
Filed under: Escherichia coli
Lineage: Bacteria; Pseudomonadati; Pseudomonadota; Gammaproteobacteria; Enterobacterales; Enterobacteriaceae
Description: RNA II
Source: RNAcentral